This 20-nucleotide microRNA is filed under the name Corchorus capsularis. RNAcentral's name for it is "sRNA CCACVL1_20234". The record is from RNAcentral. Lineage: Eukaryota; Viridiplantae; Streptophyta; Magnoliopsida; Malvales; Malvaceae.
UUUGUGUUUUUUCUUGUUUU